AACGAACGCUGGCGGCAGGCCUAACACAUGCAAGUCGAGCGCGCCCUUCGGGGUGAGCGGCGGACGGGUGAGUAACGCGUGGGAACGUGCCCUUUUCUACGGAAUAGCCUCGGGAAACUGAGAGUAAUACCGUAUACGCCCUUUGGGGGAAAGAUUUAUCGGAAAAGGAUCGGCCCGCGUUGGAUUAGGUAGUUGGUGGGGUAAUGGCCUACCAAGCCGACGAUCCAUAGCUGGUUUGAGAGGAUGAACAGCCACACUGGGACUGAGACACGGCCCAGACUCCUACGGGAGGCAGCAGUGGGGAAUCUUAGACAAUGGGGGCAACCCUGAUCUAGCCAUGCCGCGUGAGUGAUGAAGGCCUUAGGGUUGUAAAGCUCUUUCAGCUGGGAAGAUAAUGACGGUACCAGCAGAAGAAGCCCCGGCUAACUCC
Molecule: ribosomal RNA, 430 nt
Filed under: uncultured bacterium
Lineage: Bacteria
Description: partial 16S ribosomal RNA
Rfam family: Bacterial small subunit ribosomal RNA
Source: RNAcentral